CCAAUAGCGUAUAUUAAAGUUGUUGCAGUUAAAAAGCUCGUAGUUGAAUUUCGGGAUUGGCGCAUCGGUCGUGCCUUACGGGGUAUGAACUGGUGCAGUCAAUUUCUCACCUUCUGGAGAACCGCGAUGUCCUUAAUUGGGUGCCGCGGGGAACCAGGACCUUUACUUUGAAAAAAUUAGAGUGUUUAAAGCAGACAUUUUUGCUGGAAUACAUUAGCAUGGAAUAAUAAAAUAGGACGGCAUGGUUCUAUUUUGUUGGUUUCUAGGACCACCGUAAUGAUUAAUAGGGAUAGUUGGGGGCAUUAGUAUUCAAUUGUCAGAGGUGAAAUUCUUGGAUUUAUUGAAGACUAACUACUGCGAAAGCAUUUGCCAAGGAUGUUUUCAUUAAUCAAGAACGAAAGUUAGGGGAUCGAAGACGAUCAGAUACCGUCGUAGUCUUAACCAUAAACUAUGCCGACUAGGAAUCAGACGAUGUUAAUUUUUUAAUGACUCGUUUGGCACCUUACG
This 507-nucleotide unclassified non-coding RNA is filed under the name uncultured Entrophospora. RNAcentral describes it as "SSU rRNA". It matches the Rfam family "Eukaryotic small subunit ribosomal RNA", at positions 591 to 1092 of the family's 1831-position model. The record is from RNAcentral. Lineage: Eukaryota; Fungi; Glomeromycota; Glomeromycetes; Entrophosporales; Entrophosporaceae.